Molecule: ribosomal RNA, 513 nt
Filed under: Triticum aestivum (bread wheat)
Lineage: Eukaryota; Viridiplantae; Streptophyta; Magnoliopsida; Poales; Poaceae
Description: partial small subunit ribosomal RNA
Source: RNAcentral
AUGGAACCAAUUCACCAGAAAGGAUGUAUGGAAAGGGAUCGAAAGGCUUACACGGUUCACGGCUACAGCAAACAACCUCACAGGGAUCAUUCCUUGCAGCACAUUUCCCAAGGGGUGCAAGCUGCAGUCUUUGGAUAUCUCCAGCAACCAAUUGUCUGGCAGUUUCCCAAAUUUUGCACAAGCUUGAAAUUCCUGUCCCUAUGGGACAAUAGCUUUGGUUCGAUUGCGGGACUCAAAGAGCUGGGUCUCUCGAGCAACCAGUUCCAUCACAAGAUACCACUUGAGCUGAUGAACUGCACCAACCUAAAAAAUUUGGAGAUCAGUCGCAAUACCUUUGGAGGGGAGGUGCAACAAGUCCUUGGAAAAAUAACCAGCCUGAAGAGCCUUGUGCUUCAAGGGAAUAAUUACAGUGGGGGCAUUAUCUCCUCUGGCAUUCUACAGUUGCCAAACCUCAUCUGUCUUGACCUCGGCUUUAACAAAUUCUCCGGUAGCCUAAUGAAAUUGCUAGCAUGA